GCGUGAUCUCGGCUCACUGCUAUCUCCGCCUCCCGGGUUUGAGUGAUUCUCCUGCUUCAGCCUCUCGAGUAGCUGGGAUUACAGUCACUUGCCACCGUACCCAGCUGAUUUUUGUAUUUUUAGUAGAGACAGGGUUUUACCAUGUUGGCCAGGCUGGUCUCUAACUCCUGACCUCAAAUGAUCUACCCUCCUGGCCUCCCAAAGUGCUGGAAUUACAGGAUUGAGCCACCACACCUGGACUGCCAUCCAAGAUUGGGCAACUGAUAUUCAGUCCCAUGCACUACUUGAGCCAGUCUUGACUGAAACAGGAAUCACAUCAAAAGAUGAGGCAACACAAUCAGGUUUCUCAUGUACAAGGAGGAAAAGAGGCCAAACACGGAAACCCCAUGCAGUGACUGCCUCCUUUGGAUCAGCAUGUUAUGAAAAGUCGGUACCUGCCAUUCUGAUUGACUGAGAGCAACAGAAAACCCCUGAGGCCUUCCGGUUCAGUUGGGAUUGUAAUGAUAGACCAGCAAGACAAAAGCCUGCCAGAACAUUAGCUUCAACUGUAUGACAAUGCCCUUCCCAAGAAGAUAUGAUGCUGUGUAGAUGAAUAUAGAUUGAAAACGUGGAUCCUGUCAGCAGCACUGAUUUCACUCAGAAAACUUGUAUACUGGGAGGAUGCUGUGUCUGCUCAGGGUUAGGACUCCAGCAAUGUGUGAAAAAUUCAUUUUCCCAGCUGCAAACACUCAUGCUUCUAGUUGUACAAGUGGUAACUUGAGGGUCCACGCUAAUGUUGAAGCUUAGACAGAAAUAGGUGUGUGUGUGUGUGUCUAUCCCUGCUACGAAUGAGCAGGUACUUCUUGGCCUAAUCGUAGGGCAUGGGGGAGGAUCCACACAUUGCUCAAAAAUAAAAUUUCUUUCUGGA
This 907-nucleotide long non-coding RNA is filed under the name Homo sapiens (human). RNAcentral describes it as "HSALNT0097305". Lineage: Eukaryota; Metazoa; Chordata; Mammalia; Primates; Hominidae. The record is from RNAcentral.